UAUCAUAAAAGGGUGUUCUUUCAUCUUCUCUAAUUCCUGAGGGCUUGACUGCUCUCUAAAGGAAUGAAAUUCGAAUGUCCUGUUUGAAGGAGGUGACACAUCUCUGUGUCUUAGAUUUGGACAAAGAAACUGUUCAUAAUCUUUGGUAAAAUAAUCUACAACUACUUAGAAACAGCCUCAGGAACUGCAUCUCUCUUUUGAGGUUUCCCAGCAAAAAUCCCCACCACAUACUGCUUGUACAUUUCUGUCUAUAGACACGUCCCUGUUCAGACCAUCACCUUCGCUCUUCCACUUUUAUUGGAUAAGUGCAGCUGUGAAGAACCAAAAACAAUACAGACUGGGAAAGAACAAUGGAGAUUCUCGAAUUCUAAAGCUGUACCAUAAUUUCUAGUUUCACUUCUCCUCUCUUCCCCGCCUCCCCCAGUCUCCUAUCCAAUUUGCAGGACCACGUGUGCGGUUCUGCAUCCCACAGUCUCUUCUCGAGUUUCUUAUACAGUUUUUGUUUUUUUCCUCUCAAGUAGUCAGGGAAAAAAAAAUGCCGAGGGGGAAAAAGGCCUGAAAUCGAAUUGCAGAUCCACCAGGCAGAGCUAUAGGUCGCGCCUGCACACAGUACCAGCUCCCAGAGUCUCCCAGGACUUCUAGGAGACUGCCUCAAAAUACACCAGCGUCCUAGGCUUGAGAAACGAGAUAAGCCUUGCUAGAUUUCCGUAGAGUGAAGGUGAAAUCGACGAGAGAAAACCCUUCUACCUGAGGUGGUGACCCUACACCCAGGCAGGACUGUAAAUCCACGCUGUUUGCCUGUGACUGAUUUGGGAUUUGGAUUUCUGAUCUGGCUGAGUGAUGUGUAAAAACCUCAAGUAGUCAACAGCUCCCUAUUGGCUAUGCAUCUGAGGGGCUCAAGAGCAUUGUUUAUUCCAGCAAGUGUCUGGAAUACAUUAUACUGGAUGAAUUGGCUCCUGCUACUCCCGUUUUGGAGAAUAUGAAGAAUUUUAUACUGUGCUAAAAUAAAUGUACUUUGUGCAAAUAACUUUCCUAAAUAAAAAAUUUUGAAUAUGACUCUAUCUUCUGAAUCCACUACUGCCAAUAUUUUAAACAUAUGGCCUUUCUGAAAGAGUAGUGAUGAAAUAAUUCUCCACACCUUCAAAUUCAGAAACUCGUUCAACAUUUAGAUCGGUUUUUAUCCAAGGCCAUAUGAAAGUGGGUUUCCCUAAAAAAAUAAAAUGGUCAGAUAUUUGGGUUGAGAACUGUUCUCUCAAACUUUAAGAAUACUAGGAUAAAGUAUCAAAAUAAUUCUUCUAUUAAUACAUAAAAAUUUUAGGUGAUA
Molecule: long non-coding RNA, 1324 nt
Filed under: Homo sapiens (human)
Lineage: Eukaryota; Metazoa; Chordata; Mammalia; Primates; Hominidae
Description: HSALNT0347680
Source: RNAcentral